AGACGUCUACAUUAGAUACCCCGGUAGUCCCAGCCGUAAACUAUGCGCGUUAGGUGUAUCGGUGACCACGAGUUACCGAGGUGCCGAAGGGAAACCGUGAAACGUGCCGCCUGGGAAGUACGGUCGCAAGGCUGAAACUUAAAGGAAUUGGCGGGGGAGCACAACAACGGGUGGAGCCUGCGGUUUAAUUGGACUCAACGCCGGACAACUCACCGGGACGACAGCAAUAUGUAGGCCAGGCUGAAGACCUUGCCUGAAUCGCUG
RNAcentral lists this ribosomal RNA (264 nucleotides) under uncultured archaeon. RNAcentral describes it as "partial 16S ribosomal RNA". It matches the Rfam family "Archaeal small subunit ribosomal RNA", at positions 717 to 982 of the family's 1478-position model. The record is from RNAcentral.